Molecule: long non-coding RNA, 802 nt
Organism: Apis florea (little honeybee)
Lineage: Eukaryota; Metazoa; Arthropoda; Insecta; Hymenoptera; Apidae
Source: RefSeq, a predicted model, not a curated record
AGAGAGAGAGACAGACAGAGAGAGAGAGAGGAGGGGACAGACCUCGUUGACAACAACGAUAUUCCUCAAGUUUGUAUACAAUGCAACUAUCGAAGAUAGAUCAAAAUAAUUGUAUUAAUUGCCAGAAUAACAACAAUUCUGAUAAAAAUGAUGACGAUAACAAUAAAACAAACAAAAAAGAUAAUACACAAAAUGUGAGAAGAAAACAUUAUUCGAAUGUAUUGUUGUAUGCAAUACAUAAUCAGGAUGAUCUGCGAUAAAAGUAACGGCGAUGCUGACGAUGAGCUUAACGAAGUCGAAGACGAAGAAACUGAAAGGGAACGCACCAAGGUACAAAAAGAAAGAAGAACAAAGGAUGGAGUUGCCUGGUUUGGUUGGUCGAUCAGAGAAACAGAGACGCUAAAUGAGAGAGAGAAAAAGAGACAGAAAUAGAGACACAGAAAGAGAAAGAGUAAGAACAUGAUAGAGAGGCAAAUAGAAGGAAGGAGAGCGAGAAGGGAGAUAUACGCGAAAUGGUAGCGAUCUAAAAUUCGUCGUCAUGGCAGAAGAUCGAGAACCGAGCGAGAAAAUGUUGCCAAGCAUUGCGGAGGCCAGGGGAGCGGAUCAGCUGUUCGCCUCGGCAAUGACAACAUUGGACACACGCACGACCCCCCCGUAGUGACUUUGACGCGCGUUUCAUAGCAAACUCAUUUACUGUCAAACGAUGCAUUGACUUACCUCGAGCCUGGUGCGCCCGGAGUGUAUCAUCCUUUUGCGUCGCGUUAUUUUGCAAAGCUUACGGGAAUACCCGCACGGUUUUACG